RNAcentral lists this ribosomal RNA (1087 nucleotides) under Vibrio sp. RNAcentral's name for it is "bacterial SSU rRNA". It matches the Rfam family "Bacterial small subunit ribosomal RNA", at positions 56 to 1122 of the family's 1533-position model. Lineage: Bacteria; Pseudomonadati; Pseudomonadota; Gammaproteobacteria; Vibrionales; Vibrionaceae. The record is from RNAcentral.
UGCAAGUCGAGCGGAAACGAGUUAUCUGACCCUUCGGGUGACGAUAACGGCGUCGAGCGGCGGACGGGUGAGUAAUGCCUGGGAAAUUGCCCUGAUGUGGGGGAUAACCAUUGGAAACGAUGGCUAAUACCGCAUAAUAGCUUCGGCUCAAAGAGGGGGACCUUCGGGCCUCUCGCGUCAGGAUAUGCCCAGGUGGGAUUAGCUAGUUGGUGAGGUAAGGGCUCACCAAGGCGACGAUCCCUAGCUGGUCUGAGAGGAUGAUCAGCCACACUGGAACUGAGACACGGUCCAGACUCCUACGGGAGGCAGCAGUGGGGAAUAUUGCACAAUGGGCGCAAGCCUGAUGCAGCCAUGCCGCGUGUAUGAAGAAGGCCUUCGGGUUGUAAAGUACUUUCAGCAGUGAGGAAGGUGGGUAUGUUAAUAGCAUACUCAUUUGACGUUAGCUGCAGAAGAAGCACCGGCUAACUCCGUGCCAGCAGCCGCGGUAAUACGGAGGGUGCGAGCGUUAAUCGGAAUUACUGGGCGUAAAGCGCAUGCAGGUGGAUGAUUAAGUCAGAUGUGAAAGCCCGGGGCUCAACCUCGGAAUAGCAUUUGAAACUGGUCAUCUAGAGUACUGUAGAGGGGGGUAGAAUUUCAGGUGUAGCGGUGAAAUGCGUAGAGAUCUGAAGGAAUACCGGUGGCGAAGGCGGCCCCCUGGACAGAUACUGACACUCAGAUGCGAAAGCGUGGGGAGCAAACAGGAUUAGAUACCCUGGUAGUCCACGCCGUAAACGAUGUCUACUUGGAGGUUGUGGCCUUGAGCCGUGGCUUUCGGAGCUAACGCGUUAAGUAGACCGCCUGGGGAGUACGGUCGCAAGAUUAAAACUCAAAUGAAUUGACGGGGGCCCGCACAAGCGGUGGAGCAUGUGGUUUAAUUCGAUGCAACGCGAAGAACCUUACCUACUCUUGACAUCCAUAGAACUUUCCAGAGAUGGAUUGGUGCCUUCGGGAACUAUGAAACAGGUGCUGCAUGGCUGUCGUCAGCUCGUGUUGUGAAAUGUUGGGUUAAGUCCCGCAACGAGCGCAACCCUUAUCCUUGUUUGCCAGC